UUCAGGACCAUCACGAGGUCUGCACUCAGGAUGGUGUGUACGCGGUGCUGCGCGGGCAGGAGGGGCUGGUCUCCCUUUUUCAUGUCACCUUGACAGACCUGAAGCUAAGUAUCCAAGGACGGCCCUCGACCUCGACCUCUGCUCUCCUGUCUUCUAUUUCCCCAGGGGCUAGGAUUCCAGUGUCACCACCACAUCUGUUUCUGCAGUGCUGGGGAUUGAAGCCAUGGCCUCAUUCCUUCUACACAACCCAACUGUGUCCUCUGGGGUGGUGGCUCCAGCCUGGGGUGGCUGUGGUCCAAGCCCUCUGCCCUCUCUUCUCUAUCAAGCCUCUCCCCUGACCCCCAGGCAUCAAGACUUACAGACUUCUCCACAGGCUCCCACUCUUUAUGAGAAGCGGGCCCUAGCCUAGCCUACAGGGCUUGAGGGAAGGGUGUAUCGUGGAAUCCAGAGAAUAGAGGCAAGGCUCAAGGCUUACAAGUAAGUAAAGGUAUAAAUCUCUAGACACCCCAAAAUCCUGCUCUGUCCUCCUGCCAGCUCUCUAGACUCCCGUCAUGGACAUUCUAGGAUCUUCUCCUGACUACAGGGAUCAGUCCGCUAGUUACUGUCUCAGGGUAAGCUUUCCCUCCUGGUGACCUCCACAGAGGACAUCGUGGCCCCUUACCGCGAUGGUGACCACAGUGCGGUCUGCGAAGGCUGUCAUCACCACCUUCUGGAGGAUGUUUUCCUGUCAGGUAGAGGUAGCAAGCAGCUGGUGGCUCAUCUAUUCCAUGGACGGGGUCUGGGAUGGUUCUGGGGAUGUGGGGCCCAGGUGGCCUGGCUCCCAUCUACACCUGCUCCUAGCUCUCUGCCCGUCUUCUCUCUGGCUCUACUCCCAGAGGAUUGAACAGGUGUCCAGUACUUGGUGGCUGGACCUGCCUUUGCCAUGUGGCCCUAGAUGUGAAGGCCAGCUUGAGGCUUAAGACCCCUCUGUGCCAACUACUCCCUAGCAUGCCACCCCAGGACCAACCGUAGCCAUGUCAAUGGAGGCAGUUGCUUCGUCCAUGAUGAAGAUGCUGGUCUUUCUCACGAAGGCCCGAGCCAGGCAGAACAGCUGCCUCUGACCUUGACUAAAAUUCUCCCCUCCUUCUGUGAUGAUGGCAUCUGGAAGCAGACAUGGGACAGGGCAGGCCUGAGUAAAUCCUGCCUGUGAGCAGAGUAGCCCCAUGGAGGGGGAUGUAUGUGCAGGGUA
Molecule: long non-coding RNA, 1228 nt
Organism: Mus musculus (house mouse)
Lineage: Eukaryota; Metazoa; Chordata; Mammalia; Rodentia; Muridae
Product: predicted gene, 51481
Exons: 2
Source: RefSeq, a predicted model, not a curated record